This is a long non-coding RNA of Anopheles funestus (African malaria mosquito), 642 nucleotides long. RefSeq lists it as uncharacterized. The record is from RefSeq and is a predicted model, not a curated record. The transcript is spliced from 3 exons. Lineage: Eukaryota; Metazoa; Arthropoda; Insecta; Diptera; Culicidae.
GUAUUGGCUAAUGUGUCUUGGCUAAGGUGUCUUGGCUAAUGUGUCUUGGCUAAUGUGUCUUGGCUAAUGUGUCUUGGCUAAGGUGUCUUGGCUAAUGUGUCUUGGCUAAUGUGUCUUGGCUAAGGUGUCUUGGCUAAUGUGUCUUGGCUAAGGUGUCUUGGCUAAUGUAUCUUGGCUAAGGUGUCUUGGCUAAGGUGUCUUGGCUAAGGUGUCUUGGCUAAUGUGUCUUGGCUAAUGUGUCUUGGCUAUUUUGUCUUGGCUAAGGUGUCUUGGCUAAUGUGUCUUGGCUAAUGUGUCUUGGCUAAGGUGUCUUGGCUAAUGUGUCUUGGCUAAUGUGUCUUGGCUAAUGUGUCUUGGCUAAGGUGUCUUGGCUAAUGUGUCUCGGCUAAGGUGUCUUGGCUAAUGUGUCUUGGCUAAGGUGUCUUGGCUAAGGUGUCUUGGCUAAGGUGUCUUGGCUAAUGUGUCUUGGCUAAUGUGUCUUGGCUAAUGUGUCUUGGCUAAGGUGUCUUGGCUAAUGUAUCUUGGCUAUUGUGUCUUGGCUAAUGUGUCUCGGCUAAUGUGUCUUGGCUAAUGUGUCUUGGCUAAUGUGUCUUGGCUAAGGUGUAUCGGCUAAUGUGUCUUGGCUAAUGUGUCUUGGCUAAG